UGGAGUCUCGCUCUGUUGCCCAGGCUGGAGUGCAGUGGUGCAAUCUUGGCUCACUGCAAUCUCCGCCUCCUGGGUUCAAGCGACUCUCCUGCCUCAGCGUCCUGAGUAGUUGGGAUUACAGAUGCGUGCCACCACGCCAGGCUAAUUUUUGUAUUUUUAGUAGAGACAGGGUUUCAUCAUGUUGGUCAGGCUGGUCUCAAACUCCUGACCGCCUUGGCUUCCCAAAGUGCUGAGAUUAUAGGCGUGAACCACCAUGCCUGGCCUAGGUUUUGUUUUGAACUGAUAUUCUGUUUCUUCAGCAAGUCCACAUAAGAAUGUGGAUAUGAAAGGAUGAAAAUCUACUGAAAGAUUACAUAAAGAACAGAUAACAGGGACCCACAGAAUAAAUCAGAAGAAAUCUAUGAAAUAGCCACAACUUCUUGAACAUUAAAGUGAAGGGAAAAAAAGCCACAUUCAUCAGAUUAAACAGAAGCUAUUAAUUUUUUUCUUCCAUUUAUAGUGUGGAUAGGAAUUAAAGCAAAACAGUGAGACUGUAUGGUUUUCAAUACAAGUUCAAAGAAAGCAACAAAAUCUUCUGUUUUAGGAAAUCAUAUUAAUAUCUAUUACAAAUGCAGAAAGCAGGGGGGCUGAGUCAAUGCCCCAGCACCAACCAUACUGGUUAUAGUGUGGAAGAGGGGCGGGUGAGGUGGAAGCUGCCAGAGAGAGCAGGAGGAUCAGCACUGGAGUGAAGAGGAAGCACGCAGCAGGAGAGGGCAAAGAGCACUGAGAAGAAGAGGGGAGCAGUGGGCCAUGAUUGUGCCCUUCUUGCUUCUCCAGAGACCCUUUCCUAUGCAGCACCCCACACCCAGCCAGACCUUAUUGUGAUUCUGGCUAGAAGUGUGGGGACUGACAGCUCAUAAAUGCUCCCACAGAGUUGAUACAACUCUGCUUUAAGGAGGAGAAUACAUUUAUUGGUCGAAGUGAUUUAGAGAAUAUCAUUUGGUAAAUAAAACUACAAUAGCCUAUAAAAUGUAACCUGCUAGUUUUCUGCCACGUUAGCAUUAAUAUUAAGGCUUUUUUUUUUUUUUUGAGACGGAGUCUCGCUCUGUCACCCAGGCUGGAGUGCAGUGGCGCGAUCUCGGCUCACUGCAAUCUCCACCUCCCAGGUUCAAGCAAUUCUCCCGCCUCAGCCUCCCCAGUGGCUGGGACUACAAGGCACAAGCCACCAUGCCCGGCUAAUUUUUUUUACUUUUUAGUAGAGACAGGGUUUUGCCAUGUUGGCCAGGCUGGUCUUGAACUCCUGAACUCAGAUUGAGACCAUCCUGGCUAACACGGUGAAACCCUGUCUCUACUAAAAAUACAAAAAAUUAGCUGGGCGUGGUGGCGCGCACCUGUAGUCCCAGCUACUCGCGAGGCUGAGGCAGGAGAAUGGCGUGAACCUGGGAGGUGGAGUUUGCAGUGAGCCGAGAUCGCGCCACUGCACUCCAGCCUGGGUGACACAGCGAGACUCCGUCUCAAAAA
This 1500-nucleotide long non-coding RNA is filed under the name Homo sapiens (human). RNAcentral describes it as "HSALNT0003865". The record is from RNAcentral. Lineage: Eukaryota; Metazoa; Chordata; Mammalia; Primates; Hominidae.